RNAcentral lists this unclassified non-coding RNA (1641 nucleotides) under uncultured fungus. Its description in RNAcentral is "sequence contains 18S rRNA gene, ITS1, 5.8S rRNA gene, ITS2, 28S rRNA gene". The stretch from base 507 to 1641 matches the Rfam family "Eukaryotic large subunit ribosomal RNA", at positions 1 to 961 of the family's 3401-position model. The record is from RNAcentral. Lineage: Eukaryota; Fungi.
GGAAGGAUCAUUAACACUUGAUUCUUCUUUUAAAGCCUUUGUUGAACCUGUGAUCUGUCUUUUUCAUUUUCUUCAAACCAUUCCAAAUUUCUAAUUCGUUUCAGUAAGCAGCUUUCAUUUGAGAGCUCUUAUCAAAACAAAUUUCAAAAGAACAACUGCUAGCAUUGGAUGUCUUGGUUCUCGCAACGAUGAAGAACGCAGCGAAAUGCGAUAAGUAAUGUGAAUCGUAGAAUUCAGUGAAUCAUCAAAUUUUUGAACGCAAAUGGCGUUCCUGGGUACCCCCAGGAGCAUACCUGUUUGAGAAUCAUCACCCCAUCUCAUUCCUUAUUCAUUUAAGGAUGUGGUCACUGAGUGUUCAUUGCAAAAUGUCACUUCAAGUGCAUGAAGCUGUCAAGACAACUUCAUAUUGGCUUUGGUAAGGUUGAGUUACUCAGCCCACACUCAAGUCAAUUCUGACUUCUGUCUUAAAAAACUGGCUUCUCUUCAAAACACUUUUAAUCAUAACAUGAUCUCAAAUCAGGCAAGACAACCCGCUGAAUUGAAGCAUCUCAUUAAGCGGAGGAAAAGAAACUAACCAGGAUUCCCCUAGUAACGGCGAGUGAAGCGGGAAAAGCUCAAUCUUUUAAUCGAAGGGGUCUCCUCUUCGAGUUGUAGAGUAAAGAGGCGUCUUCGGGGGAGUGCUCAGGUAUAAGUCCCUUGGAAAAGGGCGUCAUAGAGGGUGACAACCCCGUUCAUGACUUGGGCACAUUCUCCAUUUGGGACGUUUUCGAAGAGUCGAGUUGUUUGGGAAUACAGCUCUAAACGGGUGGUAAAUUUCAUCUAAAGCUAAAUAUUGGCGAGAGACCGAUAGCGAACAAGUACCGCGAGGGAAAGAUGAAAAGAACUUUGAAAAGAGAGUUAAAAGGGCCUGAAAUUGUUAGCAGGGAAGCGAUUAAAACUGGGCAUACGCCUUGGGAUUCGGGUUGGUUUCUAGAGGCUCCGGUGCAUUCAGUCGACCGCAAGGCCUGGGUGUUCCGUGGUUCUUUAGUUCCGGCCUUACUUUCUCAGGGUGUGCGUCAACAUCAGUUAGGGGUUUCGGCUAAUGGGGCGUUGGAAGGUAGGCGGAUACUUCGGUACCCGCUGUUAUAGCCAAUGCUCAGUGCCGUUCGCUUGACUGAGGAAAUGCAGUGCGCGCCAUGCUUGAGGUCUAUUCUCUGGGCUUUGGUUUCACGAAGGACAGCCUCGCUGUGCUUUGGUUACCUGAGUCUACGUGGGUGGCGCCUUUCAUACGCGUGCUCCAGAUGUUGACACAACGGUUUUAACCGACCCGUCUUGAAACACGGACCAAGGAGUCUAACAUAUAUGCGAGUAUUUGGGUGGCAAACCCAAGUGCGUAAUGAAAGUAAAGGCGCUCUUCGAGUGCUUAGGUGUGAGCAUGUGAGCAUAUUCACAUGUGCAACAUCGACCGGUCUGGAGGUUUUCUGAAAGAUCUGAGUAAGAGCAUAUCUGUUGGGACCCGAAAGAUGGUGAACUAUGCCUGAGCAGGAUGAAGCCAGAGGAAACUCUGGUGGAAGUCCGUAGCGGUUCUGACGUGCAAAUCGAUCGUCAAAUUUGGGUAUAGGGGCGAAAGACUAAUCGAACCAUCUAGUAGCUGGUUCCCUC